Molecule: ribosomal RNA, 164 nt
Filed under: Sambucus racemosa subsp. pubens
Lineage: Eukaryota; Viridiplantae; Streptophyta; Magnoliopsida; Dipsacales; Adoxaceae
Description: 5.8S ribosomal RNA
Rfam family: 5.8S ribosomal RNA
About the family: 5.8S ribosomal RNA (5.8S rRNA) is a component of the large subunit of the eukaryotic ribosome. It is transcribed by RNA polymerase I as part of the 45S precursor that also contains 18S and 28S rRNA.
Source: RNAcentral
CAAACGACUCUCGGCAACGGAUAUCUCGGCUCUCGGAUCGAUGAAGAACGUAGCGAAAUGCGAUACUUGGUGUGAAUUGCAGAAUCCCGUGAACCAUCGAGUUUUKGAACGCAAGUUGCGCCCGAAGCCAUUAGGCUGAGGGMACGUCUGCCUGGGCGUCACAC